AGGUUCACUCCUUUGUGAUUAAAAGGGAAUCGGGUGAAAGUCCCGAACAGUCCCGCUGCUGUGAGUUGUCCUUAUUCGCCGGCACAAGAAGCCACUGGUAAUCACCGGGAAGGCGUGCCGGAAGAGACAACGAAGUCAGAAGACCUGCCAUUGCGC
This 156-nucleotide non-coding RNA is filed under the name uncultured Prevotella sp. Lineage: Bacteria; Pseudomonadati; Bacteroidota; Bacteroidia; Bacteroidales; Prevotellaceae. The record is from RNAcentral.